Molecule: transfer RNA, 73 nt
Filed under: Populus balsamifera (balsam poplar)
Lineage: Eukaryota; Viridiplantae; Streptophyta; Magnoliopsida; Malpighiales; Salicaceae
Also listed under: 1 other name
Description: tRNA-Ala
Source: RNAcentral
AGCUCCGCUCUUGCAAUUGGGUCGUUGCGAUUACGGGUCUUAUCUCCAACUCGUGAGCUUAGUCGGUACAAAG